This 392-nucleotide ribosomal RNA is filed under the name Klebsiella ornithinolytica. RNAcentral describes it as "bacterial SSU rRNA". It matches the Rfam family "Bacterial small subunit ribosomal RNA", at positions 396 to 780 of the family's 1533-position model. Lineage: Bacteria; Pseudomonadati; Pseudomonadota; Gammaproteobacteria; Enterobacterales; Enterobacteriaceae. The record is from RNAcentral.
GCCGCGUGUAUGAAGAAGGCCUUCGGGUUGUAAAGUACUUUCAGCGAGGAGGAAGGCAUUAAGGUUAAUAACCUUAGUGAUUGACGUUACUCGCAGAAGAAGCACCGGCUAACUCCGUGCCAGCAGCCGCGGUAAUACGGAGGGUGCAAGCGUUAAUCGGAAUUACUGGGCGUAAAGCGCACGCAGGCGGUCUGUUAAGUCAGAUGUGAAAUCCCCGGGCUCAACCUGGGAACUGCAUUUGAAACUGGCAGGCUUGAGUCUUGUAGAGGGGGGUAGAAUUCCAGGUGUAGCGGUGAAAUGCGUAGAGAUCUGGAGGAAUACCGGUGGCGAAGGCGGCCCCCUGGACAAAGACUGACGCUCAGGUGCGAAAGCGUGGGGAGCAAACAGGAUUA